UGGCUCAGUGGAUAGAGCGUUGGCCUGUGGACUCGAAGGUCCCGGGUUCGAUUCCUGG
This 58-nucleotide transfer RNA is filed under the name Myotis davidii. It matches the Rfam family "tRNA", at positions 8 to 63 of the family's 71-position model. From Rfam's summary of the family: Transfer RNA (tRNA) molecules are approximately 80 nucleotides in length. The record is from Rfam by way of RNAcentral. Lineage: Eukaryota; Metazoa; Chordata; Mammalia; Chiroptera; Vespertilionidae.